RNAcentral lists this ribosomal RNA (497 nucleotides) under uncultured bacterium. Its description in RNAcentral is "partial 16S ribosomal RNA". It matches the Rfam family "Bacterial small subunit ribosomal RNA", at positions 28 to 507 of the family's 1533-position model. The record is from RNAcentral.
GACGAACGCUGGCGGCGUGCCUAAUACAUGCAAGUAGAACGCUGAAGAGAGGAGCUUGCUCUUCUUGGAUGAGUUGCGAACGGGUGAGUAACGCGUAGGUAACCUGCCUUGUAGCGGGGGAUAACUAUUGGAAAUGAUAGCUAAUACCGCAUAACAAUGGAUGACACAUGUCAUUUAUUUGAAAGGGGCAAUUGCUCCACUACAAGAUGGACCUGCGUUGUAUUAGCUAGUAGGUGAGGUAAUGGCUCACCUAGGCGACGAUACAUAGCCGACCUGAGAGGGUGAUCGGCCACACUGGGACUGAGACACGGCCCAGACUCCUACGGGAGGCAGCAGUAGGGAAUCUUCGGCAAUGGGGGCAACCCUGACCGAGCAACGCCGCGUGAGUGAAGAAGGUUUUCGGAUCGUAAAGCUCUGUUGUAAGUCAAGAACGGGUGUGAGAGUGGAAAGUUCACACUGUGACGGUAGCUUACCAGAAAGGGACGGCUAACUACGUG